GGGGUGGUGGCGCAGUUGGAUAGCGCGUAGGUCUCAUAGUUGGGGUCGUGAGUUCGAGACUCUCUCGCUCCA
Molecule: transfer RNA, 72 nt
Filed under: Triticum aestivum (bread wheat)
Lineage: Eukaryota; Viridiplantae; Streptophyta; Magnoliopsida; Poales; Poaceae
Rfam family: tRNA
About the family: Transfer RNA (tRNA) molecules are approximately 80 nucleotides in length. Their secondary structure includes four short double-helical elements and three loops (D, anti-codon, and T loops). Further hydrogen bonds mediate the characteristic L-shaped molecular structure. tRNAs have two regions of fundamental functional importance: the anti-codon, which is responsible for specific mRNA codon recognition, and the 3' end, to which the tRNAs corresponding amino acid is attached (by aminoacyl-tRNA synthetases). tRNAs cope with the degeneracy of the genetic code in two manners: having more than one tRNA (with a specific anti-codon) for a particular amino acid; and 'wobble' base-pairing, i.e. permitting non-standard base-pairing at the 3rd anti-codon position.
Source: Rfam by way of RNAcentral